RNAcentral lists this ribosomal RNA (253 nucleotides) under uncultured bacterium. RNAcentral describes it as "partial 16S ribosomal RNA". It matches the Rfam family "Bacterial small subunit ribosomal RNA", at positions 524 to 776 of the family's 1533-position model. The record is from RNAcentral.
UACGAAGGGUGCAAGCGUUACUCGGAAUUACUGGGCGUAAAGCGUGCGUAGGUGGUUUGUUAAGUCUGUCGUGAAAUCCCCGGGCUCAACCUGGGAAUGGCGAUGGAUACUGGCAAGCUAGAGUGAGGUAGAGGAGAGUGGAAUUCCCGGUGUAGCAGUGAAAUGCGUAGAGAUCGGGAGGAACAUCAGUUGCGAAGGCGGCUCUCUGGACCAUCACUGACACUGAGGCACGAAAGCUUGGGGAGCAACCAGU